Long non-coding RNA from Felis catus (domestic cat), 459 nucleotides. RefSeq lists it as uncharacterized. The record is from RefSeq and is a predicted model, not a curated record. NCBI's taxonomy places the organism in Eukaryota, Metazoa, Chordata, Mammalia, Carnivora, Felidae. The transcript has 3 exons.
GGCACCUCCUACUGCACGAGCUCUCGGCCAAUGAAAAUCCCGCGUCCACCUGGUUGCGCCCGUUCUGGGAAGAGGUUCGUUGCCCUGUGGUUUCUCCUUCUGCGUCUGUUUUGUUUCUGAGCCACGGUGGCCGGCUUUGGAAGUAGUGGGGCCGGACCUGUUUCAAAGGAGCCAAGGGAAGUAUCCUGUUGGAUUUCAACGGACACUAAAUGGGCCUUGAAGGAAACCGUCCAGGAAAGGCAGAUCAACAGGUCAUGAUCUCACGGUUCCUGAGUUCGAGCCCCGCGUCAGUCAGCACAGAGCCUGCUUGGGAUUCUGUCAAAGCACGUACAGUUAAAUGUUUUUCCCACAGAAUUGCAUCGCGCUGUACCACACAGAUUUUCGGAAACCUAAGACGCGGUAUUGAACUAAUUCUACAUCUAACUCCAAUUGUAAUAAAGUUAAUACAUGCAGACGGUC